AUGCAAGGAUGCAACAUCUUUAGAAUAACCAACAAGUCAACCCUCAGAGUUAAUAUCUGCUGUCAGCAAUUAAGCACUGCGAGCUGGAACACAAGCAAAGGCCCGAGGGAGCUGAGAUUUUUCAAAGCGGGCGGUGACAUCAGAACAAGGGGGGUGGAGGAGGAGGAGGCUGCUCUUAUGUGCAUGAAACAAAGUGGCAUUAAUGUAUUGCUUAUCUCUUCGUCAUUGUAUGAAGAUGCGCACCGCAUGGGUACAUACAUAGGCCUUGCGUUUGCACCAUUUAAAGACCUAAAAAUUGCAUAG
RNAcentral lists this ribosomal RNA (303 nucleotides) under Triticum aestivum (bread wheat). RNAcentral describes it as "partial small subunit ribosomal RNA". The record is from RNAcentral. Lineage: Eukaryota; Viridiplantae; Streptophyta; Magnoliopsida; Poales; Poaceae.